This 468-nucleotide ribosomal RNA is filed under the name uncultured bacterium. RNAcentral's name for it is "partial 16S ribosomal RNA". It matches the Rfam family "Bacterial small subunit ribosomal RNA", at positions 28 to 507 of the family's 1533-position model. The record is from RNAcentral.
GACGAACGCUGGCGGCGUGCUUAACACAUGCAAGUCGAACGGAAAGGCCCUGCUUUUGUGGGGUGCUCGAGUGGCGAACGGGUGAGUAACACGUGAGUAACCUGCCCUUGACUUUGGGAUAACUUCAGGAAACUGGGGCUAAUACCGGAUAGGAGCUCCUGCUGCAUGGUGGGGGUUGGAAAGUUUCGGCGGUUGGGGUUGGACUCGCGGCUUAUCAGCUUGUUGGUGGGGUAGUGGCUUACCAAGGCUUUGACGGGUAGCCGGCCUGAGAGGGUGACCGGCCACAAUGGGACUGAGAUACGGCCCAGACGCCUACGGGAGGCAGCAGGGGGGAAUAUUGCACAAUGGGCGGAAGCCUGAUGCAGCAACGCCGCGUGCGGGAUGACGGCCUUCGGGUUGUAAACCGCUUUCGCCUGUGACGAAGCGUGAGUGACGGUAAUGGGUAAAGAAGCACCGGCUAACUACGUG